AUUCUACAGAUCUGCCAUACAACAUUGUGCUUAUGGUUAACAGUGUUACAGUGUGCACUUAAAUAUUUAUUAACAGGGUAGAUCUAUAGUUAAGUGUUCUUACCACAAUAAAAAAAGACUAAUGUAUUAAAAAGAAUUGUUAGUUUAUGUUUUUGUAUAUAUUAUGCAUAAAGAUGUAAUUCUUUGACACCAACAACUGAAAAAGGUGGGGACUGAGCUGUAAAGGAGCAGAGUUUUUGUGUGUUAUUGAAGUUAAGCUGUAUAAAUUCAAAUCAGAGUAUUAUAACUUUAGAAUGUUAAAUGUAAUCUCCAUGGUAACCACAGAGAAAGUAGCUAUAGAAUAUUUACAAAAGGAAAUGAGUAAGAAAUGUAAAUGCUUCACUGUAAAAAAAAAACAGCAACUAAAUACAUAUGAAGAAAGUAAUGCAGGAAAUAAAGGACAAAAAGAAGCUAUAAGGGAGCUUAUGUACCAGUAAGGAAGCGUCUCAUUUAUAAGGGAGCAACUGGAAAUAUAGAAUUGGAGUUCAUUGUGACGCAGAUUUGGGAAUUUCAGGCCACAAGCAGCAGUUAUGGCCCAGGAAUGACUGAUUUUCCAAAGGGGUAAAAUGACAAGGAAAGAGAUGAAGACUUCUUCCAGGAUCCUGAGGUGCUUCAUUGUCUCCAGAGAGGCCCCAUCCCACACCCCUCAGUCACUCAUAUCUGGACACAUCGGACCUUGUCAGCAUCAAUAAUGGACAUACCUCUGAUAUUUGAACUUUGAAUCUCACUCUGUGACCAUGACUUUGUAUCUUUCUAAGUCUUUAAUCUUCAGCCUCACAGAACUCUUCGUACUCUAAAAUAUAGUAUUUUCACCUGGUCUGUCAUCCUCUUUAGUGCCUUCAUUUUUUUUUUUCCUCACCAAGACUGGUUCCCAUGGUGAUAUCAUGAAUGACUUUACCACUAAUAACCAAACUUGCAUGUGUUCCCCCUUC
This 971-nucleotide long non-coding RNA is filed under the name Callithrix jacchus (white-tufted-ear marmoset). RNAcentral describes it as "lncRNA (ENSCJAG00000051788.2)". Lineage: Eukaryota; Metazoa; Chordata; Mammalia; Primates; Cebidae. The record is from RNAcentral.